UUGAAAGGGAAACGAUUGAAGUCAGUCAUGCUGGUGGGAAUCAACUUAGGGGAAACUCUGGGUGCACUUCUUCGCUUGGCAGGUCAACGUCGAUUUUGAAUGUCAUAAAAUAAUUGGGGAAGGUAGCUCCUUCGGGAGUGUUAUAGCCCUUGAUAGAUGUGAUGUUUGAGGUCGAGGAUUGCAACGGAUACCCUUUGGGGCUAGCUGCCUGAUCUCUAAUUGGUGUUGGGUUACGGAUAGCAUGCUGACUGUGAUCUAAUUACUGGUUAAAAGGUUAGAGUAUGCAUAAAUUCGUUAAGGAUGUUGACGUA
Molecule: ribosomal RNA, 311 nt
Filed under: uncultured Glomeromycotina
Lineage: Eukaryota; Fungi; Glomeromycota
Description: LSU rRNA
Source: RNAcentral